GGAAACCCUGGACUUUUUCUUGGAGGAAGAAGGAGCUACAGCAGCAGUCGCCCGACGCCUGCUACUACCAGCAAACUGGACCUCUUCAUCUUCAACAGGAGCAAUUCGCUUGACUGCGGCUUUCCUUGCAGACAUUGCCUCAAGAGCUUUCUGAUAUUCCGCCAAGGCCUCAUCACCUCUAGAACCCCACAUCACACCUGAAAGACAGAGCCAACCUUGCUUGAAUUCGUAGAAGGAAAACAGGAGAAACUAAGAUAGAAAAGCUUACCUCUAAUGCUACACCGAUCUAGAGCUUUGUCGCUUACAAGGAAAGACACUUCACGGCGUUCGAGGGGAAGCUCCAACAGCUGCUCGACCAUAUCCCUUUCUGAAGGAUAAUCCGAGAGGGAUAUGACUGCAUAAGAAAACAAAAAAAAAAACACAUCAGCAUCAGACAGGUAAAGAGAAUCUAUGACCCAUCAGCUGCACACAAAGUGGGAGAGAAUCCGGGAAAAGGCAUAAAAGCAAACUUCGAAGUCCAACGCCCCUCGAAGAUGGGGCAACGUUUUCUCUCAGCCUUCAAAAGCUCCCACACAGGAAGCGCUUUUCCACGAGGACGCAAAUGAUAUCUAAACUCCCCACCGCUCAGAGGAGAGAUAGAAUACCAAUCUAGAACCUCAGCGACUCAACGGUAAAACCCUAAAGAUCACCAAGAUUCUUCAUAGCUAUCAAGGUCCUCCAAGAAGGAGGAUUCGGCUGCCAAGGGGAAAUCUUCACUGUCUUCGAGAUCUCGGCCACCAAAGAAGGAAUCUGGUCUCGGAAACCCGAUUCGAAGAAACCUUCGUACACAGGGAUCUCACCCAGCUCAAAAUCCGAAACUCUAUCAAAAGGACCAGGGAUCCGGAUGGUAUCAUCUUCGGGAAGACGAAACUUCCUUCUCCAGUUUGC
Molecule: long non-coding RNA, 927 nt
Filed under: Brassica rapa (field mustard)
Lineage: Eukaryota; Viridiplantae; Streptophyta; Magnoliopsida; Brassicales; Brassicaceae
Description: long non-coding RNA (BRAP_LNC001289)
Source: RNAcentral